AGAGUUUGACCUGGCUCAGGAUGAACGCUAGCGGCAGGCUUAACACAUGCAAGUCGAGGGGUAACGGGGUGCUUGCACCGCCGACGACCGGCGCACGGGUGAGUAACGCGUAUACAACCUACCUUAUAGAGGGGGAUAGCCCAGGGAAACUUGGAUUAAUACCCCAUGGCACCAUAGGACCACCUGGUUUUAUGGUUGAACAUUUAUGGCUAUAAGAUGGGUAUGCGUCCCAUUAGCUGGUUGGUAGGGUAACGGCCUACCAAGGCAUCGAUGGGUAGGGGCCCUGAGAGGGGGAUCCCCCACACUGGUACUGAGACACGGACCAGACUCCUACGGGAGGCAGCAGUGAGGAAUAUUGGACAAUGGGGGCAACCCUGAUCCAGCCAUGCCGCGUGCAGGAAGACGGCCCUAUGGGUUGUAAACUGCUUUUGUACGGGAAGAACCGCCACGCUCGUGAGCGUGGUUUGACGGUACCGUAAGAAUAAGGAUCGGCUAACUCCGUGCCAGCAGCCGCGGUAAUACGGAGGAUCCGAGCGUUAUCCGGAAUCAUUGGGUUUAAAGGGUCCGUAGGCGGAAAGAUAAGUCAGUGGUGAAAGUCGGUAGCUCAACUAUCGAAUUGCCGUUGAAACUGUUUUUCUUGAGUUAUUGUGAAGUGGUUGGAAUAUGUAGUGUAGCGGUGAAAUGCAUAGAUAUUACAUAGAACACCGAUUGCGAAGGCAGGCCACUAACAAUACACUGACGCUGAUGGACGAAAGCGUGGGUAGCGAACAGGAUUAGAUACCCUGGUAGUCCACGCCGUAAACGAUGGUUACUAGCUGUCCCGGGCACAAUACGUUGUGUUUGGGUGGUUAAGCGAAAGUGAUAAGUANCCCACCUGG
RNAcentral lists this ribosomal RNA (878 nucleotides) under uncultured bacterium. Its description in RNAcentral is "bacterial SSU rRNA". It matches the Rfam family "Bacterial small subunit ribosomal RNA", at positions 9 to 873 of the family's 1533-position model. The record is from RNAcentral.